GAUGAACGCUGGCGGCGUGCUUAACACAUGCAAGUCGAACGAGAAGUGAAGACGGAACCCUUCGGGCGGAAGGCUUUAUUUCGAGUGGCGGACGGGUGAGUAACGCGUGGUUAACCUGCCUCAUACAGGGGGAUAACAGUUUGAAACGACUGUUAAUACCGCAUAAGACCACAGCACCGCAUGGUGCGGGGGUAAAAACUCCGGUGGUAUGAGAUGGACCCGCGUUCGAUUAGCCAGUUGGCGGGGUAACGGCACACCAAAGCGACGAUCGAUAGCCGAUCUGAGAGGAUGACUGGCCACAUUGGGACUGAGACACGGUCCAAACUCCUACGGGAGGCAGGAGUGGGGAAUAUUGCACAAUGGGGGAAAUCCUGAUGCAGCGACGCCGGGUGAGUGAAGAAGUAUUUCGGUAUGUAAAGCUCUAUUAGCAGGGAAGAAAAUGACGGUACCUGAGUAAGAAGCCCCGGCUAACUACGUG
Molecule: ribosomal RNA, 478 nt
Filed under: uncultured bacterium
Lineage: Bacteria
Description: partial 16S ribosomal RNA
Rfam family: Bacterial small subunit ribosomal RNA
Source: RNAcentral